AUGAACUGUAGUACAGUUCGGCGAGGAAGCAAUUUAAAAGAGUUUAUAUUUGUAGGUAUGCUGACGGACCGUCCAAAAGAGGAGAUGUCCGGGUCCGCAGGUAAUUUACUACAUGAUCUCUCACAGCUGCAUGAACGAGUUCGGCUGGUGAUGCAGGGUAUUGCCCAGGCCUUGUGGCCAUCCACUUCCCUGCCAGGAGGCAGGAGUGAGCUCAUGGAUAUGCUACAAGGAGCAGGGCGGCGCUUCCGGUUGUGGAAGGUAUCGGCCUGCCGACAAGGUGCAAGGGAAGCCUGUGCCAUGGUGAAGAUGCAAUACACCAAGCUUGACCCGAACCAUAUGGCCGAAGUCGGACCGGCGGGGCCAGAUGGGCAAGAGAUUCCCGUGAGUAUGGUGUAUGACCAGGUAGCAUUAGCCGCAAAGUAUUCCCAACAGGAUGGCAAGCUAGAUAGCCUGUUGGAUGGUAUAGAGGAAGAAUAUAGCCAGUCCAAGUGA
RNAcentral lists this ribosomal RNA (492 nucleotides) under Triticum aestivum (bread wheat). RNAcentral describes it as "partial small subunit ribosomal RNA". Lineage: Eukaryota; Viridiplantae; Streptophyta; Magnoliopsida; Poales; Poaceae. The record is from RNAcentral.